GGAGGGGUGCCCGAGUGGUUAAAUGGGACGGACUGUAAAUCCGUUGGCUCAGCCUACGUUGGUUCGAAUCCAACCCCCUCCACCA
RNAcentral lists this transfer RNA (85 nucleotides) under Rhizobiaceae bacterium. RNAcentral describes it as "tRNA-Tyr". It matches the Rfam family "tRNA". From Rfam's summary of the family: Transfer RNA (tRNA) molecules are approximately 80 nucleotides in length. Lineage: Bacteria; Pseudomonadati; Pseudomonadota; Alphaproteobacteria; Hyphomicrobiales; Rhizobiaceae. The record is from RNAcentral.